This is a small nuclear RNA of Onychomys torridus (southern grasshopper mouse), 109 nucleotides long. The record is from RefSeq and is a predicted model, not a curated record. Lineage: Eukaryota; Metazoa; Chordata; Mammalia; Rodentia; Cricetidae.
GUUCUUGUAAGAGCAGCACAUAUAAUAAAAUUAGAACAGUACAGAGAGGAUUUGUGUGGCCCAUGCACACGAAUGCCACACAAACAACCAUUAAAAUGAUAGAGGAUUU